Camellia sinensis is the source of this 242-nucleotide non-coding RNA. The record is from RefSeq and is a predicted model, not a curated record. NCBI's taxonomy places the organism in Eukaryota, Viridiplantae, Streptophyta, Magnoliopsida, Ericales, Theaceae.
CGCAAAUGUCGGUGUCCAUGUGGUAUACAAGGAAGCUGAAGAACAAGCAUUGAGUAGUAUAUACUACAACUCCGAAGAAGAUGAUCAAAGAAGACCACCUCAACAACCUCAACAGCAAAAGGCUUAGGUUGAAUUCUGAUUGAGAUUCAUGGAUAUUUUUGUGAAUAUUUGCAAAAGGAAGACUUUGCCUCAUUAUCUCAUACAAUUGAAGACUGUAUAAAUAGAUUUGAAGGCAUGUAAAC